GUAGGUGAACCUGCGGAGGGAUCAUUCC
Molecule: ribosomal RNA, 28 nt
Filed under: Curvularia hawaiiensis
Lineage: Eukaryota; Fungi; Ascomycota; Dothideomycetes; Pleosporales; Pleosporaceae
Description: partial 18S ribosomal RNA
Source: RNAcentral